RNAcentral lists this long non-coding RNA (411 nucleotides) under Panicum hallii. Its description in RNAcentral is "long non-coding RNA (PHAL_LNC000033)". Lineage: Eukaryota; Viridiplantae; Streptophyta; Magnoliopsida; Poales; Poaceae. The record is from RNAcentral.
AACUUUGCGUAUUUCCUCCUGUAGCACUAAUCUUUCUUUUUUUUCUAAACAAAAGGCCCCACGAAAUGAAAUUAUGUACAGGAAAGUUUAGACCAACGAGAAGUCAAAAGGUUCCCGAGGGGCUAACCAACCCACGCGACGCAGUUGAGCAUAAACACGACACACUGUCAUAGGCCAUCAUUGCCGCAGUUAAGCAUAAACACGACAUACUGUCAUAGGCCAUCAUUGCCGAGCGUGGAAGCAAAACCGCCAGCAGCUACGACUUCCCGUGGCAGGUCACCCACGAACCACACACUGAUGGUUCCGAAGCAAGCGGCUACAACCAGUUAUCGUGCCGAGCUCGACCCCGCGAAGAGCAGCUCCGACUUCCAGUUAUGAACUCACGCCUCGCCCCCAGCGGAUGUAGAUCCC